GAGCAAGAAUAUAACUGGGAAGAGAAAGAGCAAAGUGAACGAAGAGAGAGUGAAAAAAGAGAAACAGGAGGAGAAUAUUAAUGAAGGCCACGGAGGAAGAGAAAGAGGCACAUUAGGAGGAAAGGAAGGAGAAAAAGACGAAGACAGAAGUGGAGGAGGAGGUGGCGGGAGGCAGGAGGGAGUGAGUCAGGCCGAGGGAGCGAAUGUAGACGCGCGCCAGUUCCCUUUCCGUUCGCGCGAAGGACACACGCUGCACGUCGCUCCGAAUCCAGGUCGCCGCGUGCCCGAGAGUGCCAUGCCCCGCGGCGGGCUUAGCACACGAGCGCCCGGGAGAAGCUGUCACGUCGCCAGCGUCAGGCGCCAGCGAAUGGCCGACGCGCCUGGACUUUGUGUCUCAGAAUCCGAUUAAAAGACACUACUAAUCUUGCCUUGGACGUCGCCUCGAGAAAGAGUGAGAGGAAAGAGAUAAAACAACUCUUAGGUCACCUCGUUUCUGAAAUAAAUUUAAAAUAGAACAGACGCUCACACGCGCCCGCACGAGCCGUUCAUCCUUGGACUCGAGACUCAUGCUGAGGUCAUCCUCCAUGAUGGUCUCGGCCUCGAGGUCCAGCGCGCCCCCUCGCUCCCCCUCCAUGAACCACACGAGG
Molecule: long non-coding RNA, 647 nt
Organism: Penaeus monodon (black tiger shrimp)
Lineage: Eukaryota; Metazoa; Arthropoda; Malacostraca; Decapoda; Penaeidae
Exons: 2
Source: RefSeq, a predicted model, not a curated record